This 446-nucleotide ribosomal RNA is filed under the name uncultured bacterium. RNAcentral's name for it is "partial 16S ribosomal RNA". It matches the Rfam family "Bacterial small subunit ribosomal RNA", at positions 338 to 795 of the family's 1533-position model. The record is from RNAcentral.
CCUACGGGAGGCAGCAGUAGGGAAUUUUCGGCAAUGGGUGGAACCCUGACCGAGCAACGCCGCGUGAACGAAGAAGUUAUUCGUAAUGUAAAGUUCUUUUAACAGGGAAGAAAGAGAAAUUUGACGGUACCUGAAGAAUAAGCUCCGGCUAACUACGUGCCAGCAGCCGCGGUAAUACGUAGGGAGCGAGCGGUAUCCGGAAUUAUUGGGCGAAAAGGGUGCGUAGAUGGCAUAGUAAGUCUUUUGUAAAAAUGCUGGGCUCAACCCAGUAGGGCAAAAGAUACUGCAAAGCUAGAGUAUGACAGAGGCAAGUGGAACUACAUGUGUAGCGGUAAAAUGCGUAAAUAUAUGUAAGAAAACCAGUGGCGAAGGCGGCUUGCUGGGUCGAUACUGACAUUGAGGCACGAAAGCGUGGGGAGCAAACAGGAUUAGAUACCCCGGUAGUC